This 2192-nucleotide long non-coding RNA is filed under the name Panax ginseng (ginseng). RNAcentral's name for it is "long non-coding RNA (PGIN_LNC016484)". Lineage: Eukaryota; Viridiplantae; Streptophyta; Magnoliopsida; Apiales; Araliaceae. The record is from RNAcentral.
GAAGCUGAAUAACUAAACUCAAAAACAUCUUAUAAUCAACCACCAUGCAAUAAUGCUCAAUAAAGAGAAAUACCUCUCUAUUUAUAUGUUGCAAGUAAAUGGAACCAUUGCAAGUCCUAGGAAUUCCAGGGUGUUGUAAAUUACAACCAUUCAAAAUCUUUACAAGCACCCUAGACAUAAUAAAUAUCCCACAAAACAAACAAUAAUAGUUUAUUUCUGCCAUCUUUCCAGUAAUGUAUAUACUAAAGCAUAAGUACAGGAGUCUCUCAUGUGAAUCAUGAAUGUGAGUCUAAACAGAAAAUGCUUAGAAAAUUGUAAAAUAUUAAACAUCUAUUCUCCUCAACUGAUCAAAAAACUAAGUGAAGUAUAUUAGAGGACAUUCUCUCCACUCCCCAUAACCCAGCAGCCCAAAACAUACCCCCUUGUUGUUGGUCAUUCUCUCGACUUCCAAUAAUCUUAAGCAAGUACCUGCAAGAGAAUCAAGAAAAUCAUAUUAAUAAUCUUUAAGCUCAUAAUAUCAGGUGGGAUGACUUUGAGUUGAAGAUUAUACAUAUCAAUGCUUUUUGCCCCACCCCCAAAAGAAAACAAACCAAUUCAAGGGGAAAAGGCACUGUAGCCUGAGCACAACCCACCAAUCCCCAUGUAAAUAUGUUAAUUAUAACUCCACAAAAUGGCCUAAAAAGAGAAGAUCUUUCACAUUAGAGGGGCAAAUUAAUACUUUGCCAACACACCAAAUAUAAUAAACACAUCUCGAAAAUAAGGAGUUAUGUACAUACAUAGUAAUGUUUUUAACAAUUGCUCACUAAUUGAUUCUCCAUCCAUUUUACAUUAUUUGGAACAUUUUGUACUUAAAAAAUAAUAAGUAUAUGUUACUAUAUCAAUCAAAUUUGAUUUCAUUCAUUUACUAUUAAAACCAUCUACACCUAAAUCAAUGCAUGUAAACUAAAAAUUACACUGAUUUGCAUUCCUCAAAAGUCAAGUGAAUAAAUUUGAGACCUAGGUACCCCAAGAAAGCAAACAUAUUUAUCUUUUAUUGGGGUAUGGCAGAAACCAUAAAAUGUGUUAUGUAACAAGUAAAAAGAUUAGCUUAGACAAACUGUCCACCCAUUAAGACAUUGUGAUGUGAUGACUGCUUCUUUUCCCACAAACUUAUCUGGUGUCCUCUUGUUUCCCUGCAAAGUUUGUUUUUUAGCUUUAGUAUGCCCUAAGGUACUCACGGUAGUAAGGAAAAGUAUAAUGUUAUAUGGUAUCUGAAGUCUGAACUCACCUUAUUAACAACUUUCUCAUUCACUGUAAAUGGAUAUGUGCUAACAACUUGUUUUCACUUUUUUAUUUUGUUUUAGACAAUUCAUUCUCUGAACCAUUCCUACUAAUAUAUGGUUUUGUUUUUAAUAAGUAAAACUUCGUUAGAAAGUAGAAACCACCAAUAGCAGGAAAAAUGGUGAGAAAAAACCUCUGAUUAUUAUUAGUCUAUUAAUUCAUUCUUUUUCUCAAAAAGCGUGAACAAUAUGACAUACAACCACUACUUAUCACAAAUUAAGGAUAUCAAUUUUACACAAAGAAGUAUCAAACAAUGCAUGUAUACAAUUCAGUAACAGUGAAAUUUAUUUCUAAAGAAUCCUUGAUUAUUGUGCUUUUAAAUACUCUUAUUACUUAAAAACUAGAGAUUUUGGAUCACAGCUCCAAAUAAGCAAUUAAGCAUUUUUAUCUUUUAUGUGGCCUACAACUUCCCUCUUACUUUUUGAAUUUACUUAAAUCUCAUCCCAUUAUCUAUCAUAAUUUUUCCUAUCUUUGUGCCUGUGAAUGUGUCUCCUAACUCGAGUUGCUAUACCCCACAAUGAUGUUAACCUUUGUAGUUCAGAUACCUUGCUUAUAAAUUCAAGACAAUGGAAAGGCCAGAUUACAAGGGUACCUAAAACUAUACAAGCAUUAAGAAACUAACUUGCAUGUAAACUGUAAUAUUAUAAAAAGAAAAAACUAUCGAUUGAAACAAAAUUUAAUAGCCUGAUCGAUUACCAGUAAUUUUGCCACGAUUCCUUUUCACAGCAAGCGGACGAUCUGCAGUCAAUUUCGAGCUAGGGUUCCAAUUCAAAAUCGCAUAAAUCGCAGAAUGUUUGCAGUAAUCGCCGUCCGCUAGAAAUUGUAGAGAAACUUAAGAAUUUAUUAUAUUUAUAUAUAAGGGUAAUAUAGUA